RNAcentral lists this ribosomal RNA (550 nucleotides) under uncultured archaeon. RNAcentral's name for it is "bacterial SSU rRNA". It matches the Rfam family "Archaeal small subunit ribosomal RNA", at positions 329 to 879 of the family's 1478-position model. The record is from RNAcentral.
GGCGCAGCAGGCGCGAAAACUUUACAAUGCGGGAAACCGUGAUAAGGGGACACCGAGUGCCAGCAUCAUAUGCUGGCUGUCCAGGUGUGUAAAAUACACCUGUCAGCAAGGGCCGGGCAAGACCGGUGCCAGCCGCCGCGGUAACACCGGCGGCCCGAGUGGUGAUCGUGAUUAUUGGGUCUAAAGGGUCCGUAGCCGGUUUGGUCAGUCCUCCGGGAAAUCUGACGGCUCAACCGUUAGGCUUUCGGGGGAUACUGCCAGGCUUGGAACCGGGAGAGGUAAGAGGUACUACAGGGGUAGGAGUGAAAUCUUGUAAUCCCUGUGAGACCACCUGUGGCGAAGGCGUCUUACCAGAACGGGUUCGACGGUGAGGGGCGAAAGCUGGGGGCACGAACCGGAUUAGAUACCCGGGUAGUCCCAGCCGUAAACGAUGCUCGCUAGGUGUCAGGCAUGGCGCGACCGUGUCUGGUGCCGCAGGGAAGCCGUGAAGCGAGCCACCUGGGAAGUACGGCCGCAAGGCUGAAACUUAAAGGAAUUGGCGGGGGAGCAC